This 305-nucleotide ribosomal RNA is filed under the name uncultured bacterium. RNAcentral's name for it is "bacterial SSU rRNA". It matches the Rfam family "Bacterial small subunit ribosomal RNA", at positions 337 to 639 of the family's 1533-position model. The record is from RNAcentral.
UCCUACGGGGCGCAGCAGUGAGGAAUAUUGGUCAAUGGGCGGGAGCCUGAACCAGCCAAGCCGCGUGAAGGAAGAAGGCGCCAAGCGUCGUAAACUUCUUUUGUCGGGGAACAAAGGGCGCCACGUGUGGCGUUGUGAGUGUACCCGAAGAAAAAGCAUCGGCUAACUCCGUGCCAGCAGCCGCGGUAAUACGUAGGUGGCAAGCGUUAUCCGGAUUUAUUGGGUGUAAAGGGCGUGUAGGCGGGAAAGCAAGUCAGAUGUGAAAACUCAGGGCUCAACCCUGAGCCUGCAUUUGAAACUGUUUU